This 350-nucleotide ribosomal RNA is filed under the name uncultured eukaryote. RNAcentral describes it as "SSU rRNA". It matches the Rfam family "Eukaryotic small subunit ribosomal RNA", at positions 592 to 937 of the family's 1831-position model. The record is from RNAcentral.
CAGUAGCGUAUAUUAAAGUUGUUGCAGUUAAAAAGCUCGUAGUUGGAUUUCUGACUUCAAACACCUGACCCUCCCUCGCUAGAGGUGUGUGUGCCGGAGUGUUUGUAUCAUCCUUUCAGAUGUCGUCUCUGCCCUUAACCGGGUUGGAGAUGUCUUAUCUGGAUCUUUUACUUUGAAGAAAUUGGAGUGUUUAAAGCAGGCUUACGCCAGAACAUAUUAGCAUGGAAUAAUAAUUUAGGACUUUUGUUCUAUUUUGUUGGUUUCUAGGACGAAAGUAAUGAUUGAUAGGGAUAGUUGGGGGUGCUAGUAUUCGGCGGCCAGAGGUGAAAUUCUUUGAUCCGCUGAAGACU